This 443-nucleotide ribosomal RNA is filed under the name uncultured bacterium. Its description in RNAcentral is "partial 16S ribosomal RNA". It matches the Rfam family "Bacterial small subunit ribosomal RNA", at positions 338 to 795 of the family's 1533-position model. The record is from RNAcentral.
CCUACGGGUGGCUGCAGUGGGGAAUAUUGGACAAUGGGCGCAAGCCUGACCCAGCGACGCCGCGUGAAGGAAGAAGGAUUUCGGGAUGUAAACUUCUUUUAGCAGGGACGAAGCAAGUGACGGUACCUGAGGAAUAAGCCACGGCUAACUACGUGCCAGCAGCCGCGGUAAUACGUAGGUGGCAAGCGUUAUCCGGAUUUACUGGGUGUAAAGGGCGCGUAGGCGGGAAAGCAAGUCAGAGGUGAAAGGCAUGGGCUCAACCUGUGGCCUGCAUUUGAAACUGUUUGUCUGGAGUACUGGAGAGGCAGACGGAAUUCCUAGUGUAGCGGUGAAAUGCGUAGAUAUUAGGAGGAACACCAGUGGCGAAGGCGGUCUGCUGGACAGCAACUGACGCUGAGGCGCGAAAGCGUGGGGAGCAAACAGGAUUAGAUACCCGGGUAGUC